This 1481-nucleotide ribosomal RNA is filed under the name uncultured bacterium. RNAcentral's name for it is "16S ribosomal RNA". It matches the Rfam family "Bacterial small subunit ribosomal RNA". The record is from RNAcentral.
UGGCUCAGGAUGAACGCUAGCGACAGGCUUAACACAUGCAAGUCGAGGGGCAGCGGUGGUGAAGGCUUGCCUUUACCAGCCGGCGACCGGCGCACGGGUGAGUAACACGUAUGCAACCUGCCUGCCACAGCCGGAUAAUCGGGAGAAAUUCCGUCUAAUACGGCAUAAUGCAUCGACGGGACAUCCUGUUGGUGCCAAAGGUUGAUUCCGGUGGCGGAUGGGCAUGCGUCGCAUUAGUUAGUUGGCGGUGUAACGGACCACCAAGACGACGAUGCGUAGGGGUUCUGAGAGGAAGGUCCCCCACACUGGUACUGAGACACGGACCAGACUCCUACGGGAGGCAGCAGUGAGGAAUAUUGGUCAAUGGGCGGGAGCCUGAACCAGCCAAGUCGCGUGAGGGAUGACGGCCCUAUGGGUUGUAAACCUCUUUUGCCGGGGAGCAAAGUGCCGCACGUGUGCGGUUUGGAGAGUACCCGGAGAAAAAGCAUCGGCUAACUCCGUGCCAGCAGCCGCGGUAAUACGGAGGAUGCGAGCGUUAUCCGGAUUUAUUGGGUUUAAAGGGUGCGUAGGCGGACGCUUAAGUCAGCGGUAAAAUUGCGGGGCUCAACCUCGUCGAGCCGUUGAAACUGGGUGCCUUGAGUGGGCGAGAAGUACGCGGAAUGCGUGGUGUAGCGGUGAAAUGCAUAGAUAUCACGCAGAACUCCGAUUGCGAAGGCAGCGUACCGGCGCCCAACUGACGCUGAAGCACGAAGGCGUGGGUAUCGAACAGGAUUAGAUACCCUGGUAGUCCACGCAGUAAACGAUGAAUGCUAGUUGUCCGGGGCGAUUGAGUUCUGGGUGACACAGCGAAAGCGUAAGCAUUCCAACUGGGGAGUACGCCGGCAACGGUGAAACUCAAAGGAAUUGACGGGGGCCCGCACAAGCGGAGGAACAUGUGGUNUAAUUCGAUGAUACGCGAGGAACCUUACCCGGGCUCAAACGCAGGAGAGAUGUUUUUGAAAGGAGGCAGCCAGCAAUGGUCUCCUGCGAGGUGCUGCAUGGUUGUCGUCAGCUCGUGCCGUGAGGUGUCGGCUUAAGUGCCAUAACGAGCGCAACCCCUACCUACAGUUGCCAUCGCGUGAUGGCGGGCACUCUGUGGGGACUGCCUGCGCAAGCAGUGAGGAAGGCGGGGAUGACGUCAAAUCAGCACGGCCCUUACGUCCGGGGCGACACACGUGUUACAAUGGCGGUACAGCGGGAAGCCACCCGGCGACGGGGCGCGGAACCCGAAAACCUGUCUCAGUUCGGAUUGGAGUCUGCAACCCGACUCCAUGAAGCUGGAUUCGCUAGUAAUCGCGCAUCAGCCACGGCGCGGUGAAUACGUUCCCGGGCCUUGUACACACCGCCCGUCAAGCCAUGGAAGCCGGGGGUGCCUGAAGUGCGUGACCGCAAGGAGCGCCCUAGGGUAAAACCGGUGACUGGGGCUAAGUCGUAACAAGGUA